CCCCAGCAGUAUCACUCUGAUCCCUAGAAUUAGUAUGAAUCAGUUGCUAAGAAAGCAGCCUAAUCUGUUUCCCAGGCCUACUGAGGAUGCAAAGCAUCAAAAGCAAAAGCCACACUCUGGAAAUGAGAACCCUAGCCCACCUUCGUCCUCCGCAUCUCCCCUGGGGCUUCAGGAGACUUGUCACCACAGUUCACACCAGCUUCCUCCUGCCCCAGCUCUCCCACCGCAUCUCCAGUCUCUGAACCUGCAGAGCUGCUGAUGCUGCUGGGGCCUGACGUCGCCCUGCAGCUGGAGGCCGCCCUGGCUGACCCUCAGCUGCCCUGUCCCUGUCUCACUCCAGAGACGGGCCUCGGGGGCAAUCUUGUCUUUAACACGUGGCCUCCUCUGUUCCAGGGGUCACGGAAGACCGCCCAGAGCUCACCACGUCUCACGGAGAUUUUAAUGAAACAGCUCUUCUAUUUAUUUGUGUUGCUGCCUCCAAGGCCUGGGGCCAUGACAUCAGUCCCUGAGAGGGGAGGCCCGGGCUCAGGGGACAUCAGGCUUUCUGUCCAGUUGCUUAGGUUCUGACACUAACCCGGCUUUUCUGCUUCAGUCCUACACUCUUCCCUCUGUUUUUUUCUCGGGCGUGUCUGAAUCCUGGGGUGAAUACCGUUUACCUUGCACCCUGUGGCACUUGUUAAAAGUAAACAGGUUUUCCCUGAGCGUUGGCAGUUCCACCAGAAGGAGAACAAAGGUCAAUGCAGUCAUACGGAAUCUGAUUAACACCAAGCCGCAGAAACACACCCCUGGAUUAGAUGCUUUCCCAGCUGCCCCUGCCCUUUGGACAGAGGAGCCGUUCUAGCUGGUGUGCAGGCAGCAGCUAUGCUUAGCUCGCUGAGUGGGAAUGUGUUAAUCCACAUUUCAAGUUAGGUUUGCCUAUUGUUAUUUUUUAAUUAUAUGUACUUUAAGAGUGAUGUUAUCAUUUGAAUUUUAAAAAAUGUAUAGAAAAAAGUUUUAUUACAUUGGAGUAAAAGAAAAAAGAAAUUUUAAUCAGGUUUACAGAGGUAUAAUUUACAUUCAAUGAAUUCCACCCUCUUUAGUGGAC
Molecule: long non-coding RNA, 1084 nt
Organism: Bos taurus (domestic cattle)
Lineage: Eukaryota; Metazoa; Chordata; Mammalia; Artiodactyla; Bovidae
Source: Ensembl